Molecule: ribosomal RNA, 407 nt
Filed under: uncultured bacterium
Lineage: Bacteria
Description: partial 16S ribosomal RNA
Rfam family: Bacterial small subunit ribosomal RNA
Source: RNAcentral
AUUGAACGCUAGCGGGAUGCCUUACACAUGCAAGUCGAACGGAGUGGCGAACGGGUGAGUAAUGUAUCUGAACGUGCCCAGUAGCGGUGGAUAACUACGCGAAAGCGUAGCUAAUACCGCAUACUAUUGGCGCGGCCGAUAUCGGAUUAGCUAGUUGGGGGGGAAACGGCUAACCAAGGCGACGAUCCGUAGCUGGUUUGAGAGGACGACCAGCCACACUGGGACUGAGACACGGCCCAGACUCCUACGGGAGGCAGCAGUGGGGAAUUUUGGACAAUGGGGGAAACCCUGAUCCAGCCAUGCCGCGUGUGCGAUGAAGGCCUUCGGGUUGUAAAGCACUUUUGGCAGGGAAGCGGUACCUGCAGAAUAAGCACCGGCUAACUCCGUGCCAGCCGCCGCGGUAAUUC